RNAcentral lists this non-coding RNA (81 nucleotides) under Dialister sp. CAG:588. RNAcentral's name for it is "ZMP/ZTP riboswitch aptamer (pfl RNA motif)". It matches the Rfam family "ZMP/ZTP riboswitch aptamer (pfl RNA motif)". From Rfam's summary of the family: Previously known as pfl RNA. ZMP is also known as AICAR. Lineage: Bacteria; Bacillati; Bacillota; Negativicutes; Veillonellales; Veillonellaceae. RNAcentral also lists the same sequence under 1 other name. The record is from Rfam by way of RNAcentral.
UAAGAUUUACAGGACUGACGGAUAAGGUGGAAUAAACCACAUGAACUGUAAAUUAAGAUGUCGACCGUCUGGGCAGAGAAA